AGUGAACGCUGGCGGUAGGCCUAACACAUGCAAGUCGAACGGCAGCACAGUAAGAGCUUGCUCUUACGGGUGGCGAGUGGCGGACGGGUGAGGAAUACAUCGGAAUCUACUUUUUCGUGGGGGAUAACGUAGGGAAACUUACGCUAAUACCGCAUACGACCUACGGGUGAAAGCAGUGGAUCUUCUGACCUUGCGCGAUUGAAUGAGCCGAUGUCGGAUUAGCUAGUUGGCGGGGUAAAGGCCCACCAAGGCGACGAUCCGUAGCUGGUCUGAGAGGAUGAUCAGCCACACUGGAACUGAGACACGGUCAAGACUCCUACGGGAGGCAGCAGUGGGGAAUAUUGGACAAUGGGCGCAAGCCUGAUCCAGCCAGACCGCGUGGGUGAAGAAGGCCUUCGGGUUGUAAAGCCCUUUUGUUGGGAAAGAAAAGCAGCAGGUUAAUACCCCGCUGUUCUGACGGUACCCAAAGAAUAAGCACCGGCUAACUUCGUG
Molecule: ribosomal RNA, 492 nt
Filed under: uncultured bacterium
Lineage: Bacteria
Description: partial 16S ribosomal RNA
Rfam family: Bacterial small subunit ribosomal RNA
Source: RNAcentral